GAGUUUGAUCGUGGCUCAGAACGAACGUUAGCGGCGCGCCUAAUACAUGCAAGUCGUGCGAGAAAGGGAUUCGUCCCCAGUAAAGCGGCGCACGGGUGAGUAACACGUAGGUAAUCUACCCUCGGGUGGUGGAUAACAUUCCGAAAGGAGUGCUAAUACAGCAUAACACCGCAAGGACAAAGCGGGCCUCUCUAUAGAAGCUCGUGCCUGAGGAUGAGCCUGCGGCCCAUCAGCUAGUUGGCAGUGUAAUAGACUACCAAGGCUAAGACGGGUAGCUGGUCUGAGAGGAUGAACAGCCACACUGGAACUGAGACACGGUCCAGACUCCUACGGGAGCAGCAGUAGGGAAUCUUGCGCAAUGGGCGAAAGCCUGACGCAGCGACGCCGCGUGAGUGAUGAAGGCCUUCGGUUGU
RNAcentral lists this ribosomal RNA (413 nucleotides) under uncultured delta proteobacterium. Its description in RNAcentral is "bacterial SSU rRNA". It matches the Rfam family "Bacterial small subunit ribosomal RNA", at positions 9 to 426 of the family's 1533-position model. Lineage: Bacteria; Deltaproteobacteria. The record is from RNAcentral.